GACAGAGGGUGCAAACGUUGUUCGGAAUUACUGGGCGUAAAGCGUGUGUAGGCGGCUUUGCAAGUCAGAUGUGAAAUCCCCGGGCUCAACCUGGGAACUGCAUUUGUGACUGUAGAGCUGGAGUACGGCAGAGGGGGAUGGAAUUCCGCGUGUAGCAGUGAAAUGCGUAGAUAUGCGGAGGAACACCGAUGGCGAAGGCAAUCCCCUGGGCCUGUACUGACGCUCAUGCACGAAAGCGUGGGGAGCAAACAGG
RNAcentral lists this ribosomal RNA (253 nucleotides) under uncultured bacterium. RNAcentral describes it as "partial 16S ribosomal RNA". It matches the Rfam family "Bacterial small subunit ribosomal RNA", at positions 524 to 776 of the family's 1533-position model. The record is from RNAcentral.